RNAcentral lists this ribosomal RNA (456 nucleotides) under uncultured fungus. Its description in RNAcentral is "SSU rRNA". It matches the Rfam family "Eukaryotic small subunit ribosomal RNA", at positions 625 to 1085 of the family's 1831-position model. Lineage: Eukaryota; Fungi. The record is from RNAcentral.
AGCUCGUAGUAGAGGCUCGGGCUCCGGCCGACCAGUCCGCCUUACCGCGUGCACUGGUUCGGCCGGGCCUUCACCUUCUGCGGAACCGCAUCCCCUUCACUGGGGGUGUCGGGGAAACAGGACGUUUACUGUGAAAAAAUUAGAGUGCUCCAGGCAGGCCUAUGCUCGAGUAGAUUAGCAUGGAAUAAUGGAAUAGGACGUGUGGUCUUAUUUCGUUGGUUUCUAGGACCGCCGUAAUGAUUAAUAGGGACAGUCGGGGGCAUCAGUAUUCAAUCGUCAGAGGUGAAAUUCUUGGAUCGAUUGAAGACUAACUACUGCGAAAGCAUUUGCCAAGGAUGUUUUCAUUUAUCAGGAACGAAAGUUAGGGGAUCGAAGACGAUCAGAUACCGUCGUAGUCUUAACCAUAAACUAUGCCGACUAGGGAUCGGACGGUGUUAUUUCUUGACCCGUUCGGCA